ACGCUUACCUCUCAGAGGAGACACUAUGGUCUCAAAGGUGGUUUUCCCAAGGCAGGGCUUAUCCAUUGCAGUCCGGAUGUGCUGACCCUUGCCAUUUCCCCAAAUAUCUCAAUGAGGCUCCUAAAGCACAAGAAGUAACAGCAAGAAUCAAUAAAUGGGAUGGAUUCAAACUAGAAAACUUCUU
Molecule: small nuclear RNA, 184 nt
Filed under: Spermophilus dauricus (Daurian ground squirrel)
Lineage: Eukaryota; Metazoa; Chordata; Mammalia; Rodentia; Sciuridae
Description: U1 spliceosomal RNA (ENSSDAG00000008412.1)
Rfam family: U1 spliceosomal RNA
About the family: U1 is a small nuclear RNA (snRNA) component of the spliceosome (involved in pre-mRNA splicing). Its 5' end forms complementary base pairs with the 5' splice junction, thus defining the 5' donor site of an intron.
Source: RNAcentral